AUUGAACGCUGUCGGCAGGCUUAACACAUGCAAGUCGAGCGCGCGGCGGACGGGUGAGUAAUGUCUGGGAAACUGCCUGAUGGCGGGGGAUAACUACUGGAACCUGUAGCUAAUACCGCAUACCCUCAGAUGUGCCCAGAUGGGAUUAGCUAGUAGGUGGGGUACUGGCUAACCUAGGCGACGAUCCCUAGCUGGUCUGAGAGGAUGACAAGCAAAACUGGAACUGAGACACGGUCCAGACUCCGACGGGAGGCAGCAGGGGGGAAGAGUGCACAAUGGGCGCAAGCCUGAGGCAGCGAGGCCGCGUGUGUGAAGAAGGCCUUCGGGUUGUAAAGCACGUUCAGCGAGGAGGCGUUACUCGCAGAAGAAGCACCGGCUAACUCCGUGCCAGCAGCCGCGGUAAUAC
This 406-nucleotide ribosomal RNA is filed under the name uncultured bacterium. RNAcentral describes it as "partial 16S ribosomal RNA". It matches the Rfam family "Bacterial small subunit ribosomal RNA", at positions 29 to 526 of the family's 1533-position model. The record is from RNAcentral.